Long non-coding RNA from Camelina sativa (false flax), 874 nucleotides. RefSeq lists it as uncharacterized. NCBI's taxonomy places the organism in Eukaryota, Viridiplantae, Streptophyta, Magnoliopsida, Brassicales, Brassicaceae. The record is from RefSeq and is a predicted model, not a curated record.
UUAAUAAAAAUUUUCAUCUUUCUCGAUUGUUAUCUCUGAGAUCUCAAUUCACCGGCGGUUCCAAACGGAGAACGAUGAAGCAGACAAAGAAACGAUUCCCAUGAGCAGCCAAUCCAAUCCUUAUUUCCCCACAACCUUGAAGCAUCCCAGAUAUCUCCAUGAACAACAAAUACUUUUUUAUCUUCAUCGAGAUCUCUCCGUUUAGGUGCCUCUUAGUCCAUAUUUUUGAUAGAGAAGUUACUCUUAUGAUUCCUGCGAUCUUUCAUGAUUUUGAUGCUAUUAUGCUUGCUUAAUUGAUAAUCAAAAGUCUGUUGGUUUCAAUCUCGCGCUGCUUAGUCUCCCAUCUCUUCUUCCCUGCUAGCAUUUCAUGGAAAUUGAUAGUAUACCCGGUCUGAUGUCUCAGGAAGACCUUCCUAAACUCCAUGGAAGCUUUGCUAAGUAGUUGUUCAACUCGUUCAAGUAGUUGUUCCCAUGGAAUCUGCUCAAUCUUCUCUUAUCUUGGCAAUCUCAUCCUCGUUCAGAGUUCGAAGUCUUGUAUUUUGAAAAUUCAGGAAGCAUUGUUGAGAAUUCAGGAAGACUUUCCUCAAACAUAUUUCCAGAUUUCAAUUUUUAUCCCAAAAAAUAGGAUUGAAGAUUUCUCCAAGCUAUGUGAUGUAUCUACAUACGACACAAGAUGCAAGUAUUAUUUGGAUAUAGUUAAAGAGUGUGUUGACAUUUCAUAGGUCUAUAUUCCUUUUAUCCAGUUUUACUUUAUCUGUUUUUAGACAUGUAUGAUGUUUGUGAAACAUUUUUGGAUUGUUUUUGUACUUGUGUGAUGUUUUUGUGCCAUGACAAUGUCAUAUGUUUCUGUGUUAGCAUUUAGUUUUAACGGUGA